GUCUAUGGCCAUGCCACCUUGAACAAGCCCCAUACCUGAUUGUGGAAGCUAAGCAAGGUCGGGCCUGGUCAGUACUUGGAUGGGAGACCACGUAGGAAUAUCAGGUGCUAUAGGCA
RNAcentral lists this ribosomal RNA (116 nucleotides) under Pteropus alecto (black flying fox). The record is from RNAcentral. Lineage: Eukaryota; Metazoa; Chordata; Mammalia; Chiroptera; Pteropodidae.